GACAGGACGCCCGCGCAUGUGGCUCCUCUGACGACGAAGCUUCUCUGCCUGCCGUGGAUUCAGGGGGUGUCGAUCCGGCUGGGUCCUCUACUCCUCUUGCUCUUGUGGUGCCACGAGGAGUUCUUCAUCUGGGACUGCGACAGGAAUUGAUCGAGAGAGCUCCUGCUGCUUUCUUUCUCUCUCUCCCAGGUCUGUGGUGAUAACUCACUGCUACGUGUCGGUUAUGGUCACCUCCCUAUGGCACCCUAGGAGGCACUAGGGGCUGCGUGUUGAUCUACUGCUGCAGAUUUAGUUGCAUGACCCGUCACUCCGAGCGGUCGGUGCAAGUACAGGGGGAACUUAAUCAUCCUGCGCUCUAUUGGUCGCCAAGCACCAUUUGAGACUGUUGAAACGUGAAUGGAUCAUGAGUUGUUUCUUCUUGUAUAAUCUUGAGUGUCUAGUCCAAUCUUCAUCUUAUACCUGCUGUCGGUGGUGUGUGGUUCUCUGCAAAUGCAAGGCCAUCAAAAAACACUUUCCAGAAUGCAUUGGACCUAUGUACUA
Long non-coding RNA from Panicum virgatum (switchgrass), 540 nucleotides. RefSeq lists it as uncharacterized. The transcript is spliced from 2 exons. NCBI's taxonomy places the organism in Eukaryota, Viridiplantae, Streptophyta, Magnoliopsida, Poales, Poaceae. The record is from RefSeq and is a predicted model, not a curated record.